UCAUAUUCUAACCAAUCAAGUGUAAUAUAUCCAAUCCAGUCCAAUAUAGCUUAUCAAAUGGGGCCUAAAGGGACUUAUCAAAUAAAAAUCGCUAGAUGAAUGGGAUUGUUAAUGGGAUAUUCAGCAAACAAUUUAUGCGUCAAUUUAGAAAAGAGGAAAAGAAAAGCAAGAAAGAAAAGGAAAUAGUAAAACAGAUGAACAAAGGGCAGGAAAGUGAGAACUAUUUGAUAUCAAGUAUCAAUUGUGUGUCUAUUUGUCUUGUCUUGUGUUGUGUGCAUUUCAUUUCAUUCAUUCAAUGACUUUGUUAUGUUAUGGGUUUUUGUUAGAGUAUGUAGAGCUAGGAUUGUGACAAGUGUCACUUGGUCAUUGACUGAUGUUAGAAUUAGUGAGUAAGCUAUUGUAAUCAGUUAGAGCCUUAUACAGCUUAACUAUCUGUAUUGUAAUGUAAUCUGAGAAAUAAUACAGAAGGUUCAUCUUCUUGUUAAUUCUCUCUCUAUUUUCACUUUCGUUAACAUGGUAUCAAGAGCCAUGGAUCAAUCUUGAGUUCUUCUGCUUCCGCUUCCUAUGCCUUGACAUUUUUUUCUGGACCUCCACGGAAAGUGACAUCAAUAUCUGCUUCUUCCAUAUCAUUCUUGGAUUCUCAAUUUCAUCAAAUUGAAUCAAGGUUUGGGUUUCUAUUCAGCUCACUGUUGGGGUUUUUCAUUCUCAUAUUUGAUUCGAGUACGUCUCAAUAGGGUUUUGUCGCUGUUUUGGGAAUUUCCAAUGUUCUUGAUCGAUUGCUAGUCAAUUUUGGGGCUUUUAUAUGAGAUUGCUGAUUUCAAGCCUUCGAAUUGGGGAUUUACAAAUUCAUAUCUGCUUCUCGUAAUUCUCCAUUGAUUUGCGAUUGAUUUGCCUUCCUAACUUCAAUUCCAUGUUUGCCUAUGGAGGUUCUAUUUCCUCAACUAUGGUGGAUUUCAGAUUAUUAGUUGCAUUCCUGCUAUUUGGAUCCUAUGGAUGUUCUUUUGGUAUGUCUAUUGUUCAUCCUCUAUCUCUCUGAUUUCAAUAAUUAGAGAAAUAAUAUGUUCAAAGAUUCAAGAUUUCUAUCCACCUUUGAUAGUUAUUUUAGCUGCUCCUUGUUCUUGCUCUAACAUCACCUUCAUGUUCUUGAAUACAUCACCAUGGACCAAAUAUUGAUGGUUCAUUUGUUAUUUGCUUUGUCAAUUUUCUAGUGCAUCCAAAAUCUCAAUACCUCUAUUCUUGACUCAUCAAUCCCACUUCUUUGGAGAACAAGAAAAUCUUCAAUCAAUCAAUCCUUUACAUGGUUCUAUCACAAUUCUCUUCUCACUCUUCUUAUCUCAGGGGACAAAGAAUUUCCCAUUUCUCAUUCUCUUCUAUCUCUUUUCUCCAAUAUUUAAGGCAACAAAAGAAUUUCUCAAUUCUUCCUCUUUCCUAUCUCCUUUCUACAAUCUCUAAGGGUACAACAGAAUUUCCCAAUUCUUUCUCUUUUCUAUGCCCUUUCUACAAUCUCUCUGAUUAGGGAACAAAUGGAUUUCUCAUUUCUUCUUUCUUUCUAUCUCCUUUCUUUAAAUUUUCAGGGAACAAAGAAUUUCCCUCUUCUCUUAUUCUAUCUUUUUCUAUAUGUGGGGGUCUGAUUACAUAAUUGAUUUGACUUGCUUAUUGAGGAUGCAAUUAUUUGGCAGAUUUGGGAUACUUGAUGGUUUAUAUAGUGAAUCAGUUGGUAAAUCUCAUAGGCAUGUAGUUAAUCAUUUGUUGUCAAUAAGGUUGCGAAAUUCGUUGACUGGAAGAGUUGAUGGAGCAUGUAUUAUGCCUCUAAUAUUACUUGUUAAUCAGUUACCAAAGUUUGAUGGGGUGUAUUUGAGUUGUAUGUGGUUCCUCUACUUUCUUUGGAUCAGUGGAAGGUUUAGCUUUUUUUUUUUUUUUUUUCAUAUGUGUCAAUUUGGCUAACUUUGCUGCGUUAUGCUUCACAUGAGUACUCUUAUGUCUCAAGCUUUAGAUUGGUGCUCCAAACACAACGGAAAAAAAAAAAAAAAAAAAAAAAAAAAGCCUGCUCUACUUCAACUAUAGCAACAUUCAAUGCUUUUUCUGCUUCUUUGGUUUAAGCAUUGUUCCAAUCUCAUGGUUGGAUUCUCCACCCAUGAUCUUGCGGGGGGAUGUUAGAGUAUGUAGAGCUAGGAUUGUGACAAGUGUCACUUGGUUAUUGACUGAUGUUAGAAUUAGUUAGUAAGCUGUUGUAAUCAGUUAAAGCCUUAUAAAUAUUAACUCUCUGUAUUGUAGUGUAAUCUGAGAAAUAAUACAGAAAGGUUCAUCUUCUUCUUAAUUCUCUCUCUAUUUUCACUUUCGUUAACAGUUUUGUUAUGUAAUAUAUGAUUCCUAGCUGGCUACUUGUUGUCAAAUCACAAUUGCGAGUUUAAGGGCCGCCAAAGCCGAUGUUUACGGGUACACCAGAAAUUCAAUGUUUGCCACUUUCAUUUUUCAUCUAUGAGUCUUGUGUCCGGCAAACAACCAACUCAUAUUUUAUAUAUAUAAUUGUUCCCUCCAUAUCUUUGAUACCAAUUGCCAAGUAUCUUCUAAUUGGCUAGCUUAGGAUCAUGAAUUUCAACCCCAACUGUUGUGACACAAUCCACGCACUCUCCCACUAUAAUUGCCCUAUCUAUAUACCACAAGAUCUUUGUGGCCAUGAUGUUGCCAUUCUCCCC
This 2696-nucleotide long non-coding RNA is filed under the name Prunus persica (peach). RNAcentral's name for it is "long non-coding RNA (PPER_LNC007544)". The record is from RNAcentral. Lineage: Eukaryota; Viridiplantae; Streptophyta; Magnoliopsida; Rosales; Rosaceae.